CUACCUUUCGAUGUUUUUGUGGAAAACGUCCCUACCUUUCAUUUUUUGGUGGAUUACACCCUUACCUUUACAUUUUUUUGCGCAAAACGUCCUUCUGUCAACUCUCCGUUAAAAUGCUCCGUUAAAUCAAAAAGGUAAUUAGCACAAAAGGUCCCUACCUUUCAAAGUUAUUGUGCAAAACGUCCCUACCUUUUAUUUUUUUAGCAUAAUUAGCAGAAAAGGUCCCUACCUUUCAAUAUUAUUGUGCAAAACGUCCCUACCUUUCAUUUUUAGCAUUUUCACCCGGGUAAUUAGCACAAAACAUCCCUACCUUUCGAUGUUUUUGUGGAAAACGUCCCUACCUUUCAUUUUUUGGUGGAUUACACCCUUACCUUUACAUUUUUUUGCGCAAAACGUCCUUCUGUCAACUCUCCGUUAAAAUGCUCCGUUAAAUCAAAAAGGUAAUUAGCACAAAAGGUCCCUACCUUUCAAAGUUAUUGUGCAAAACGUCCCUAUCUUUUAUUUUUUAGCAUAAUUAGCAGAAAAGGUCCCUACCUUUCAAUAUUAUUGUGCAAAACGUCCCUACCUUUCAUUUUUAGCAUUUUCACCCCUACCUUUC
This 598-nucleotide long non-coding RNA is filed under the name Olea europaea (common olive). Its description in RNAcentral is "long non-coding RNA (OEUR_LNC004719)". Lineage: Eukaryota; Viridiplantae; Streptophyta; Magnoliopsida; Lamiales; Oleaceae. The record is from RNAcentral.